RNAcentral lists this ribosomal RNA (502 nucleotides) under uncultured Glomeromycotina. Its description in RNAcentral is "partial small subunit ribosomal RNA". It matches the Rfam family "Eukaryotic small subunit ribosomal RNA", at positions 591 to 1092 of the family's 1831-position model. Lineage: Eukaryota; Fungi; Glomeromycota. The record is from RNAcentral.
CCAAUAGCGUAUAUUAAAGUUGUUGCAGUUAAAAAGCUCGUAGUUGAAUUUCGGGGUUCAUCCGUUGGUCGGGCUUUUUGGUCUGUACUGGCGUGAUGGAUUCCUACCUUCUGAAUAACCAGCAUGUCAUUAAUUUGGUGCGCCGGGGAAGCAGGACUGUUACCUUGAAAAAAUUAGAGUGCUUAAAGCAGGCUAUCGCCUGAAUACAUUAGCAUGGAAUAAUGAAAUAGGACGGCAUGGUUCUAUUUUGUUGGUUUCUAGGAUCACCGUAAUGAUUAAUAGGGAUAGUUGGGGGCAUUAGUAUUCAAUUGUCAGAGGUGAAAUUCUUGGAUUUAUUGAAGACUAACUUCUGCGAAAGCAUUUGCCAAGGAUGUUUUCAUUAAUCAAGAACGAAAGUUAGGGGAUCGAAGACGAUCAGAUACCGUCGUAGUCUUAACCAUAAACUAUGCCGACUAGGGAUCGGACGAUGUUAAUUUUUUAAUGACUCGUUCGGCGCCUUACG